This 216-nucleotide ribosomal RNA is filed under the name Triticum aestivum (bread wheat). Its description in RNAcentral is "partial small subunit ribosomal RNA". Lineage: Eukaryota; Viridiplantae; Streptophyta; Magnoliopsida; Poales; Poaceae. The record is from RNAcentral.
AUGCCCUCGACACCGCCGUGGACAAAUGUGGCUGAGGGAUUGUUAAUGGAGUACGAGAAGGAAGUGGCGGAGAAGGUGUGGAGAGGCAGGAGGUCUGGGGCGGUGUCACCUGGCUGUGGUGGAGGUGUUUAUGCGAGAAGGAGCCGGAGUGGAAGGAGAGGUGGAAAACAUGAAAUAUUGGUUGUUAUCAAGGAAAGGAAAGUUUGCAAAUGUUAA